AAAUAAUUACUUAACAGAACAAAGUAUAUAACAAAGAUUUAUAAACCCAACUGUAAAUUCAUUGGACAGGAAGCUUACUUUGUUGUCCACAUGUAACAAUGUCUAACAAGAAGUCCUAAUUUUACUAUCACAAGUAUAAAUUCCCCGGUAGUAGCUAAAGCACUAUUCAAAUAGGUUUCAAGGACAAAGAAUACAACAGAGGAAAAAAUGCAAAGUCAGAAGACUAAAAUUUAUCAAUAAUCAGUCCAUGUUCACGGCCUGAAACACGCAAUUUUUUAUCUGGAAAGAUCAUACGGCCUUCAGCACAAAUGCUGCUUCAUCCUCUUACUCUUCCUAAUUGGAAAAAGUUUCAUCAGCAUAUUCUGUUAAACUAAAUUUCUAUUGGGGCUUCUACUGCGAUUUGCACCAUACCUAUUGCUGCACAUAUCAAAUAUUAUAAAGACACAUUUUGUUAGACUACGAAGCCAAUCAUCGACAAGCAAGAUACAAUGUCAACAAUACAUUGUAUAUCAAAAUCCAUUGCAAAGCUAUACAACUCACAUCCCCAGAAAAGGAAAAGAAAAAGAAUGGGAAUAUGUCAUAGAAUUUUCUAAAGGAAAAUUGCAUUAUUGGUGUCCCACGUUCAAAAAUAAAAUAAAAUAAUAAUAAAAAAAAGUAAGUUGGUUCUCAAUCCUUCAGCAUUGUAGAACAAUUGGUCCUCAAUGAUAGAAAUGUAGGAAUAAAAUGGGCUGAGCUGAUUACCAUACGGCUCAUUUUGUUAUUUUUUAAAAUUAAUAAAAUAAACCAAAAACGAGUCAAAAAAAGAAAGUUGACCCACGAGUUCAAGACGAGUCAGCUCGUGGCUCUCAUGGGCUGAGCCAAGUCAAACUGGUGAGCCGCUCAGCUGAUCUGCCACCACUAUAGAAACUAUACAGUUUUCCUUUAAAUCAUGGUGUGACCCUCGCAUGUCCAACUUCACGAGAUUAUAUGUUGUUUCUCAACUUAAAUUGGUGCCUAGAAAUUUGAAGUGAAGCAUGUUUCCUAAAGCACCAAGUGACUACUGACCACUAAGAAAAUUUUAGACAUUUUUAUCACUGGAAGCUGAUUGUACAACUUGCUCCUUUAAGGACAUUGGCAACCUUCUACUGAGACAGUAGGCUAAGGACCAAUGCAUUGAUUUUCUCGAUUUAAAAGCGUGAAAGUAACUGCAAGAACCAACAAAACAUGAAAAGGAACAAACCUGCCAC
This 1226-nucleotide long non-coding RNA is filed under the name Olea europaea subsp. europaea. The record is from RNAcentral. Lineage: Eukaryota; Viridiplantae; Streptophyta; Magnoliopsida; Lamiales; Oleaceae.